GACGAACGCUGGCGGCGUGCUUAACACAUGCAAGUCGAGCGGAGCGGCGAACGGGUGAGUAACGCGUGAGUAACUGCCCCCCUCUCUGGGAUAAAAGUUGGAAACGGCUGCCAAUACCGGCUAGUGGGGGAUGACUCGCGUCCUAUCAGCUUGUUGGUGGGUUAGUGGCCUACCAAGGGGACGACUGGUAGCCGGCCUGAGAGGGCGACCGGCCACAUUGGUCUGAGAUACGGCCCAAACGACUACGGGAGGCGGCAGUGGGGAAUAGUGCACAAUGGGGGAAACCCUGAUGCCGCAAUGUCGCGUGCGGGAUGUCGGCUUUCGGGUUGUACCCUUCUAUCGGACAAGGCUGGGUAGGUGGAGAAGAAGCGCCGGCUAACUACGUGCCAGCAGCCGCGGUAAUAC
Molecule: ribosomal RNA, 405 nt
Filed under: uncultured bacterium
Lineage: Bacteria
Description: partial 16S ribosomal RNA
Rfam family: Bacterial small subunit ribosomal RNA
Source: RNAcentral